UGUGUACGAAAUUGGGAUACUACAUAUAUGGAUACGCAUCAUCGGAAACAGUAUGUACAAUCUUUACUGAUAGAGUUUACUACAGAGAGAGAGAGAGGCCCUAAAUAAUUCCACGAGACGACGGGUCAUGAGUAUGAGACUGCCUUUUGAAAAAUUCGGUGGCCAGGCGCAAGAAUUGCCAAUGGAUCAUAUCUGGAUUUCCUCCUCACAAAUUCUCCCCACUUGUCCCCGAAAUGGGAUCUCCACUCUUCUCUUGUCGUGUAAUGUGGCAGAUACUGCUUCAACCCUAUCCCUGCUUCUUCACUGAAUUCCAGUAUUCUUCUGUUCCGCCUCAAGAUCUCUUCUACUCCAUCCUUUCCUGCCGACCCUGGAGAUGCCGAUGUUAGGAUCGCCACCAGGAGGUUCAGCCAUGGAUGUGGCACCUCCCACUGCCCUUUCGAUCGGAGUUUUACCUCAGACACAUGUACCCUGUCCAAGAAUGCUUCAUAUGCUACCUCCGUUGUAAACAGUGUCGACGUCACGUAGCUUAGCUCUGAUAAUGUUUCUUUCACUUCCUGGAUUGGACAAAUAUAUAUAUAUUUUCAGUUCCAAUGAAUGUCAUCUACCAAAGAAGAUUCUACCGAUUGCUUCUACUCUGUUUUCUCACCUGGUUGAUUACGUCUUUGUUAUCUUGCUUCAAAUACUUGGCUAGCUCCAGACAAUACAGAGUCCUUCCAUCAAACUUGAAUUGGCUUGCUUCUAAAGGCUCUUCUGCGGUGAAAGACAACCUCCAGCUGUUCAGGAGGCCUGUCCUGUUUAUUAUCACAAACCCUUCUAUGUAAUCGAAUUUGUGGCCCUGGGCAGAUAUUAGUUGCUCUUGGUCCUUGGCAAAAGCUGCAAAAUCCAGUUGAUGAACAUUGCUGAUCUGUGGUCCAUGUCGGAAUGCCUGGCCGCUUAUUCCAGCAUUGGACAGAGUACCACCUACAGUUAAAUG
RNAcentral lists this long non-coding RNA (973 nucleotides) under Arabidopsis thaliana (thale cress). RNAcentral's name for it is "potential natural antisense gene, locus overlaps with AT3G63440 (AT3G63445)". The record is from RNAcentral. Lineage: Eukaryota; Viridiplantae; Streptophyta; Magnoliopsida; Brassicales; Brassicaceae.